Molecule: ribosomal RNA, 301 nt
Filed under: uncultured bacterium
Lineage: Bacteria
Description: partial 16S ribosomal RNA
Rfam family: Bacterial small subunit ribosomal RNA
Source: RNAcentral
CAGUAGCCACGGUAAUACGUAGGGCGCAAGCGUUGUCCGGAAUUAUUGGGCGUAAAGAGCUCGUAGGCGGUCUGUCGCGUCUGGUGUGAAAUCCCGAGGCUCAACCUCGGGCUUGCAUCGGGUACUGGCAGACUAGAGUGCGGUAGGGGAGACUGGAAUUCCUGGUGUAGCGGUGGAAUGCGCAGAUAUCAGGAGGAACACCGAUGGCGAAGGCAGGUCUCUGGGCCGCAACUGACGCUGAGGAGCGAAAGCAUGGGGAGCGAACAGGAUUAGAUACCCCAGUAGUCCCUGUCUCUUAUAC